RNAcentral lists this ribosomal RNA (474 nucleotides) under uncultured organism. RNAcentral's name for it is "partial 16S ribosomal RNA". It matches the Rfam family "Bacterial small subunit ribosomal RNA", at positions 334 to 799 of the family's 1533-position model. The record is from RNAcentral.
CACUCCUACGGGAGGCAGCAGUGGGGAAUUUUGGACAAUGGGCGAAAGCCUGAUCCAGCAAUGCCGCGUGAGUGAAGAAGGCCUUCGGGUUGUAAAGCUCUUUUGUCAGGGAAGAAACGGUGAGAGCUAAUAUCUUUUGCUAAUGACGGUACCUGACGAAUAAGCACCGGCUAACUACGUGCCAGCAGCCGCGGUAAUACGUAGGGUGCAAGCGUUAAUCGGAAUUACUGGGCGUAAAGCGUGCGCAGGCGGUUUUGUAAGUCUGAUGUGAAAUCCCCGGGCUCAACCUGGGAAUUGCAUUGGAGACUGCAAGGCUAGAAUCUGGCAGAGGGGGGUAGAAUUCCACGUGUAGCAGUGAAAUGCGUAGAUAUGUGGAGGAACACCGAUGGGGAAGGCAGCCCCCUGGGUCAAGAUUGACGCUCAUGCACGAAAGCGUGGGGAGCAAACAGGAUUAGAAACCCGAGUAGUCCCAUG